RNAcentral lists this ribosomal RNA (406 nucleotides) under uncultured bacterium. Its description in RNAcentral is "partial 16S ribosomal RNA". It matches the Rfam family "Bacterial small subunit ribosomal RNA", at positions 30 to 526 of the family's 1533-position model. The record is from RNAcentral.
AUUGAACGCUGGCGGCAGGCCUAACACAUGCAAGUCGAACGAGCGGCGGACGGGUGAGUAAUGUCUGGGAAACUGCCUGAUGGAGGGGGAUAACUACUGGAAACGGUAGCUAAUACCGCAUACCAUCAGAUGUGCCCAGAUGGGAUUAGGUAGUAGGUGGGGUAAUGGCUCACCUAGGCGACGAUCCCUCGCUGGUCUGAGAGGAUGACCAUCCACACUGGAACUGUGACACGGUCCAGACUCCUACGGGAGGCAGCAGGGGGGAAUAUUGCACAAUGGGAGCAAGCCUGAUGCAGCCAUGCCGCGUGUAUGAAGAAGGCCUUCGGGUUGUAAAGUACUUUCAGCGAGGAGGCGUUACUCGCAGAAGAAGCACCGGCUAACUCCGUGCCAGCAGCCGCGGUAAUUC